ACCAGCUCGCUUGCUCGACAGAAGGGUCAACUUCCUGCUCCAACCUGCAAUUUGAAUGCAGGGAUAAUAACAAAUAACCAAAGUUUAAUAAUAUUGCUGGAUUUUUUAUAAUGCUUAAUAAAUGAUGCGUGUAAAUUUACACAUAUUUAUUACGUCACUGACAUUGUUUUUUAUUGCGUUUAUUUCUUUUAUAUUGAUUUGAAGAUGAAAACCUUAUUUAAUUUACCUAAAAUUUGUUUGUGUUUAACACUGAUUUAUGUUGUUUUUCUGUUUAAUAUUAGUGUGUCCUGGUAAACGUGUGCUCGGAAACAUGCAGAUUACAGUAUUUACAGAGCCGACCUUGAGGCACCCACUGAUGGAUAAUCUGUUUACCUAAAAACAGCCCACCACAAUCCAUGUUUACCAGCUGUGGAAGUGCAGGCCAAAAAUCUUCCUUCACCUGUGGGCCUCUUCCCACAUGUAGAUAAGCACUUCAGGGGAAACCUGCCUGUGAUCUGCUAAGAUGCACAGAUUCAACUCUGGCCCAUUGUCAUCCCAACACCUCAUCUGCCAUCAGUUUCGUUUAGUGUCGGUCUAUUGCAAAAGUUCUUAUAAACUUUAAAUGAGACUUUGUGUUAAGCAGGGGUUUCCAAACUUUUCAUUCCACAACAUAUUAAGCCCAGGAUACACAGCAGGAUUUUUGCAAUCCAAUAAGACCUUAUCACACUGUGUGACAAGGAUUGUUUAAACUUCAGCAGUAGACUGUCGAUGAAGACACCUAUUGCAUCUGAGGCUGCGACAUCCGUUAUCAG
Molecule: non-coding RNA, 791 nt
Organism: Paramisgurnus dabryanus
Lineage: Eukaryota; Metazoa; Chordata; Actinopteri; Cypriniformes; Cobitidae
Source: RefSeq, a predicted model, not a curated record